Triticum aestivum (bread wheat) is the source of this 1186-nucleotide long non-coding RNA. RefSeq lists it as uncharacterized. The record is from RefSeq and is a predicted model, not a curated record. Lineage: Eukaryota; Viridiplantae; Streptophyta; Magnoliopsida; Poales; Poaceae. The transcript is spliced from 2 exons.
UUGGUUUACUAAUCGGGUCAACGCGCUGGCUCGCGCGGCCGGGGGCGGCGCGCCUGCUUGAUGCAAAACGGCGGCGGUGGCCGGAUCCGUGCGCGGCAGGGGCUGGGAGGCGGAUCCGGAGGCGGGAGGCGAGGCGUGGGUCGCCGGUGAAGACAAGGCCUGAGCACGGUUUCCGUGCGGAUCCAUGGCAUCCGCGACUCUGGGAAGAAAGGAAACAGGGAGGUGAGGGAGGGAGAAAGGAGGCGCGGUGCGGAGACCUAGGCGGGAGCUCGCCGGGGCGUGGCGACAGUGGACGGGCGCGGGAGAGGCGCGGAUUCGGCGCGACGGUGCAGAGUCCUUAAAUAUUCAGACUCGACGUAUUUCCUUCUUCAUCCUGCUGGUGUUGUUCGUCCAGACGAAGGAGAAGAGGAAGGCGGCAACGCUACCGGCCGGCUGGGUGACAGCAGCCAGGCCACGGGUGGUGCAGCCACUCCGGCGAGUAUGAAUGAGGAAUUGACCACCAGAGCAACACGUGGUGCAGCUAGCUGCAGCGAGGACCAACUUGACUUGAUGGGGAUACAAUUACCAAGAAAGAAUCAUACUCCUGUAUGAUCCAAGAUAUUGCACGAACAAGCUUGGGUGGAUACACAAGAAAGAAUCAUACUCCUGUAUGACCAACUUGACUUGAUGGGGAGUACCUGAACUUACCUUUAUGCAUUGCACGAACUACCAAGAUAUUAUAUCUUCCUGUAUGAUCCAUAACUCAUAGACAUGGGUAGCGAUGGGAUACCAUUUGGUAUGAACAACAUCAUCAUCUUGCAAUUCUAACAUGUAUUCAUUUAAUUUAUUUAUCUGCAUAAUAGCGAUGGAUCUUACGUAUGUCUAUUUUAUUUGAAUCUAAAAUGCAAUUAACUCCUUAAUUUGCCUUCAAAAGGAUGAGCGAUCUGGCAUGUAAGAUUAGCUCGGCGGUUCAGAUUAUCACUGUUAGUCUUUUGGUCAUGGCAAUUUUUUUAGACUUCUUGAGGUAGCUCAACCAAUCUGGUGUAAAGCUAUGAAGGCAUUUUGCUUGGAAACAAUACUGAAAGGAUACCUUAACUUCAUUUUGUCCCCUAGAUUAGUAUAAGUAUAUUAAGUCCCGUUUAUUUAGAUGUAUAGCUCGCAUGACAGUUUUGUUUAAACAAGUUUUUGGGGCAUUUAGCAAUUCUCA